GGUAUGGCUCAGUUGGUUAGAGUGCCAGGUUGUGGCCCUGGAGGUCAUGGGUUCGAAUCCCAUUAC
RNAcentral lists this transfer RNA (66 nucleotides) under pig gut metagenome. It matches the Rfam family "tRNA", at positions 5 to 66 of the family's 71-position model. From Rfam's summary of the family: Transfer RNA (tRNA) molecules are approximately 80 nucleotides in length. Their secondary structure includes four short double-helical elements and three loops (D, anti-codon, and T loops). Further hydrogen bonds mediate the characteristic L-shaped molecular structure. tRNAs have two regions of fundamental functional importance: the anti-codon, which is responsible for specific mRNA codon recognition, and the 3' end, to which the tRNAs corresponding amino acid is attached (by aminoacyl-tRNA synthetases). tRNAs cope with the degeneracy of the genetic code in two manners: having more than one tRNA (with a specific anti-codon) for a particular amino acid; and 'wobble' base-pairing, i.e. permitting non-standard base-pairing at the 3rd anti-codon position. The record is from RNAcentral.